UGAGAUCAAGGGACAGAUAACAUUUUUCUCUUCUUCUUGCUAAAUCAUUCAGUGAUUUGCAGAUAGCAGAGCUCAACAAAUGAUGAUUGAUUGACUGAUUAAAUGAAUGAACAAAUAAAGAUAUGAGUUAAUGAAGCUGAGAGAACAUUAGUUUUUUAUGUUGGGAUGACUACUGAUUGCUGUAUGCCAUGCACUGUGUUCAGUCUUGGGUAUACAAUGGUGAACUUGUGCUUGACACCACAGCACUAAUGGUCUAAUAUUUUAAUAAUGGUUACAAAUGCCUUCUUAGUGUUAUAUUCAGAAAUAUAGACAUUCUACCAUUUUUGAGAAUGUAUGGAAAAAUCUGUGGCUCUUAAAAACGGAACACACAUUGGAGUACAGAAGUGAGCUUUCGAGAAAUAUAGGGAGCAUAAAGAAACCUAUGGGUUCAGCUUAUCAGUGCCUAAAAAUAUUAAAGAUGUUAACCAUAUCAAAACAGCACUGCUAACUUUGGGGAUGUUAGAGAUUCUAUUUCAGCCUAAAAACAAGAUUCCUUUUUGAACUUAUCCAAACCAUUUCUUGCUUGAAAUCCUCAGUUUUAUAAUCAAUUGCUCAUUCCCCUGACAAAUGAGUAUUCUGGGGAUUAAUUAUUUUAAAGCACUUCGCAAAUGAAAGGCCUAUAUAAAUUCUAAGUGGUAUUGUUAUGUUGUGGGUGAUGUGCCAGGGAAAUAUUGACAAAAGCCCUUAUUUGCUAAAGCCUGCAUUGAUGUAUUAAACUCCUGCUAUAGAACAGUGCCUCUGGGAGUCUUAUAUAUUCUUUUCUUUAGAUAUGUGAAUUGGCAAUUAAAAAUAAUUAUAUUGCAUACUCUGUCAUGCCAAUCAAGAAAUCUGCAUUGAACAACACAGGAUGUGGUCUUUGAGUUCCAAUUACCAAACAGUAUACCUUUCUCUUCCCUUUUCAAAGUAUUGCGACUGAACCAGUCUAGCAAUCCAGAAGACGUUUUUAAUUUUUAAAAUUUUUGCUUCAUAGCAUAUUUGCAGAAAAGUGAAUGAAUCAGUCUUGUUUGUGGGCUAUGACUCAAAUCGUGGGAAAUUCUAGCCAAAUAGGUUUUUCUCUUAUUGUUAUUUUUUUAAGCAGACAUACCUAUAUAUUGACCCUAGUACUUUUAUUGUUCUUGACAGCAUGUGCUGGUAGAAGGGAUAGUAAAGGGUGAGCAAUAACCAUGUUGUGCCAAAAAGAAGUCUAGAUAAUGAAACUUGAACAAAGCAAUUUGGAAGAAUUUCGGUUCUCAUUUGGGGGCACUUUGCUGACUACCUGGAUUUUAUUCCUUUUGUAAACUUGCAUGUAAGCCUGUCUUCCCUGGGUUUGGGCUAAAAUGUGUUCAGGAAUAAUGUUAUCAGUGCAAAUGAUAGAAGAGAGUUAGGCUGUAUAAACUAAGUACUCCACAUGUUUUUUUCUGAAAUCUAAAGUUUGGACCUUAAAAGUAUUUUAUUUUUAAAUUUGACUUUAUCAAAUUUGCAGGACAUUUCUUAAGGGAUUAUAAAAGUUUCAUACAGAAUUAUAGAUUACUUAUGUGCAUUAAACUCGAAAAGAGCAAUAUUUCAUUUCCUAUGAAGACCUAAUAAUGUUCUUUACAAAGAAAUAAAGAAUCUGUACAACUAAAGAUGAUAAAUAUUAAUAUCAUGUUUGGGGAUGUUGUAUUUUCCUAUUAAAUUAGGACAAUUUUUGAAGAUUUGGCUUAAAAAUAAAAUGAGGCUGGGCACAGUGUCUCACACAUGUAAUCCCACCCCUUUUAGAGGCCGAGGCAGGGCUAUCACUUGAGCUCAGGAGUUUGAGACCAGCCUGGGUAACAUGGCAAAACCUUGGCUCUACAAAAAAUAUGAAAAUAAGCUGGGCGUGAUGGUGUGCACCUGUGGUCCCAGCUACUGGGAGGGCUGAGGCAGGAGAAUUGCUUGAACCCAGGAGGCGGAGGUUGCGGUGAGCCGAGAUCACAGCAUUGCACUCCAGUUUUGGCAACAAGAGCGAAAUUCCAUCUAAAAAAAAAGAAAGAAAAGAAAAAAAAGUGACAAGAAUUAAUUAAUAUGUCAUAUAUCAUGAAUUACUGAUGGCAGUGAUGAGCCCUGGAUCCUUUUAAAUUAGGAUUUUAAAAGAACUAAAUGCAUGUGUACCGUUACAAAACUAUUUAAAGCAAAGCCAAUUCAGAGAAACAUCUUCAAAUUUGAUUUUCUAUAUUUUUCUUAAUAAAAUACUAAAGCUUAAUUAAUUCUAAGUUAUUCAUAAAACCAUUAUUAACGUGAUGGCAAGGAGACUUGGCAGCCAUUAAGACAUGCCUACAGGUGUUUUACAGCUCUAUGUGUUUUUAUUUUGUUGUCUACGUUUCUUUUUGCUCUCUAAUAAAGAGCAUUUACCCACAGUAAUAGAGUCAAACUCUUGUGCCCACUUCUUCCCCUGGAUUAGACUUCUUUGCUUCAGCUUGAAUUUGGUUACUGGCUGGUACAAAGUGAAAAGAGUGGAGAUUAAAACUGAACCUGAGAAGAAUAUGGAAAAAGUAAUUAUUCAGCUUAAAAAUAGUAAGAACAACAAAAACAAUAGCAGACACUCAUAUAGUGCUUAAGGUGUUGGGCAGUUUUAUGUGCACUGCAUGUAUUAACUCAUUUUAUCCUCAAAACAAGCUUAUGAAGGAGGUACUUUCAUUAUCCCUCUUUUAGGGAUGAGGAAACUAAGGCCUUGUGUGGUUAAUUGACUUGCACAGUGGCAGAAAGCUAGUUAUUGGCAGGGUGGGGAUGUGAAGCUAGGUUUAUCUGGCUGAAAGCAAAUGUUCUUAACCACUGUGCUCUUGCCUACUGUAGGUAUAGCAAGUGCCACUCAGUAAACAUGCUUUCCUUGCUGCACAGAUUAUAAAUAAAACAAACAGGUUAGAAACAUCAAGUUUCCUGAUUCAAUUAAUUCAUCUUCUCACAUCCUUAAUAUUCAAUUAUUAAGAUACUUAUCAGUAUAAAGAAAACAUUAUUGUGAAAUAAAGUGAUAAGAGUUGGAAACCAGAGUUUAAGCCCGUGUUUGCUCCACACUUUCUGUAGAUUAAACAGAUACUGCAUUUCCCUGGGCCUCAGUUUUCUCCCCUCAAAAUGGUAGUUUUAAAGAUUAUUUUCAGCUCCACAAUUUUGUGCAUUAAACUUGAUUUCUGAGAUGAAAAAGGAAUAAGAGAACUAUUUAGAGAUUGUUUUCUACCCUGCUAUUGCCUACCAAAUGUCAAUAAUUUUCUUUUUAUAAAUCUUUUAUAGAAGUUUCUGAUUAUGUAGCAUUUUAAAGGUAUUGUUUAUUACACAUUAUAAAAAAUUUUAUAUAAAGGGAAACCAAGUUUUUUAGCACAUACGAAUUUUAUGAUAUGUAUUGCAUUUGAUGGAAUGAUGUGUAAAUUCAUUUACUUUCCAUGCAAGAGCGAUCUUGUUUUGAUUUCAGACUAAGAGCUGGGAAAAUAAUUUCCAUUUUAUUGUUAAAGACAACAGACAGUAAAAUAAGAUCUGGGUGGCAGGGAAUAACGUCCAUUACCAGGGUGGGUAGAUAACAAAGGGCUGGAUGUGACAAUGUCCAAUUUAUAAAAUUCUGGUUAACAAUAAUUUAAGAGUAGUUCUUUGUGCCAGGAGAAAAAAUAAAAGAAAGAGUCACUUGGAGAAAUGUAAAUGGGAGGAGAUGGUGUUUUUCUAUCAUUGAAUAUAACAAUACACUACAGUGUCUUUGUAAUAAUGAUCUGGAAAUUGGUUUCAGAGGAAAGUAAAUUUUCCUAAAUUUACUGUGUUAUCUGAGCUCCUUGUGAACUAUAUUCCUAGGGUCUAGCAAGGUGCCUUGUACAUAAUAGAAACUCACAUGCUUGUACAAUGAAUUAAUCAUGACUAUAUUCAACAUUUUAAUACAGAUAAGAUAGUGGGAUGCAUAGAGGGGAGGGCAGCAAAGUGAAGAAGGAGGAGUCUUAAAAUUAAGUCUUGUGAGGAAAGAUUAAUAAAAAUCUGGACAUUAGAUGAGACUUUUAGAAAAACUAGAAAGUUGUUUUUAUGUCAUUGAAGAAUUAUGUCAAAAAAUGGCUUUGUUUUAUAUGUCUACCACCAGUAAAAGAUUGGCAGAAUUCCUUCUAUAAGGGAAAAAGGUUUUGGAGGAAAUAAGAGAGAGCAGUCUAAUCUGUACAAAAAUGGCUCUGAGCUAUUUGGAGAGGCAAUGAGAACUUCCUAACAGAAGACCUGCUAGGAGGUAAUAGGUACAGAGUCAGCAGGAGUGUUGUAGAGAAGCUGUCAGCCUUAAAAUAGUAUUGAAUUUAUGGCUUUUUGGCCUUUAAGACCCAUAUAACCAUGAGCCAGGCACUUACAUUUGGGCCCAAUGCUACAGAUAAUGUGUAGUAAGUAAAAAUCUUAACUGAAGAAGCACCAUUGCUCCAAUGAACAAUUGCCAUGUGAGGUCCAUCAAUUAUAGUGCUAAGGUUUAGCAACCAGCAGUGGUGGUGUGAGGGUAAGAAAGACUUCUUUGAAUUGCUGGAUGAUGAGUACCAAGUAUUUCUCUUCUCUCCCUUCUUCAUUGGCUCAGAAAAACAGACUCUGAGACAGAGAUUAGUGCGGAGACUAAUGGGCAGGUGGGGGUUAUUUGAGAAUGAAAGUGAUAUCAGCAUCUUCGAGGCAAAGCCAGGAAAGGGAAGACAAGAAAACAGGAUUUAGCAGGGGGAGUUGUGCGUUAGGAUGAAGCUUUGAUGGGAGGACACAGCCAUUCACUCCUGUAGAGAGUUCUGAAGAGCCGAUGACAAUGUAAGGAUCCUCUGAUUUAGGGUGAACAGGAUUGGCCCCUAUACCUCCAUACCGAUUAGUCAUUGUAAGGCAGCUGUCUUAAGCAGAUCUUGGGGGAGAUGAAAGCAUGAAGAAUUUCUUCCAGCAUUUCUCCCAGCAGCUGUGGAAUAAAUUCAUUCCUGAGGAGGGAUCUGGGUUACACGUGAGAGUACCUAAAACAAUUGUUUUCACGUAACUACAUUUAAGUUGACAAAUAUUAUUCUUUACAGAAUGCAAGUUCCUAAAAUCAUUCUUCUCCAGACAUUCUUAUGUGAUCAAAGAUGUCUAUGCUAUUUAGGUUCAUCCUAAUGUUGAUAUUUAAGACAGCUGUUGGGCUUGGACUAACAAUGCUUAUGAGUUGACAUUUUUAACAACUUUUAACAUGUCAAUUACCAACUCACCUUCUCUAUGCUUAUUUCUGCUUGUGGGUAAUUUGCCUAAUCAUAACAACUGAAACUGUGUGGAACACAGGAAAAUGUGACUGAUCUGGAAGCCGGUUUGUAGUUAGAGCCCUUUUUUCUACUGUAACACACAUAUAGACCUAUUUGGAGUGUCUGAUGAUGGUGACCCGUGUGUCACUUGUCUCUUCUCAUUCCACAUCUUCUGUUAGCAAAAAUAUUUGACAGCACCAUUACCUCCCCCAGGAGAACAUUUGCAAAUAAAAAAGUAAAACACACCAAGAUUCAUGGAAGAAAUGUUACUGUGAUUACUCAGAGAUUCACUGUUAUUAUUUCUAGCUUUGGUUCUGGGUUCUCUCACUUAUUAAAUAUGAAAUAUUGAGAAAAUGUCUUGCCUUUUCUGGCUCUGAAUUUCCUAAGCAGUAAAAUGAGUAUAGCACUGGUCUCACGUGGUUAUUGUGAAGAAUAAACAAAAAUGAAUUAGUAAAUGUAAAACGUGACACACAAUCAUAUAGUUUCUUGGUAAAUGUUACAGUUCUCGUCUCCAUCAAAGGAAAAGCAUCUUCUAGAUUGAGAAAUGACCUAAUUCAGUUUGGCAUUCCAGUAACGAGCAUUAUAAUAUUUGUAAAUUACAUGGACACACAGG
This is a long non-coding RNA of Symphalangus syndactylus (siamang), 5829 nucleotides long. RefSeq lists it as uncharacterized. The record is from RefSeq and is a predicted model, not a curated record. Lineage: Eukaryota; Metazoa; Chordata; Mammalia; Primates; Hylobatidae.